GGUUCCAGAAAAUUAGGAUUUGGUUCGUAUUCGUUUUUUUUUGGGUUUAAAAUCUAAACUUUCUAAUAGAGCCGUUUACUCGUCUCCGAUCUCAAAAGAUUUAACGGCUAUAAAAUCUCUCCUUCUGGCCUUCGUCUCCAAUCUCUCCGUUUAUACGGCGUAACUGCUACAGUCUCUUCCACUGUUUCAUCGGAGUCUAGGAAUCUGAUUGCCGGCGGUAAUGGUGGAAUUGGAUGAUCGUCUAAGGUUUGUUUUUGUUUAUCGAUCAGCUACGAUCGUAUAGAUUGUUUUCCGUUUCCUUCUUUCUCCGGUCAAAAAUUUGUGUUUGCUAUUAGAAGGUUUCUUUGAAUUAGGUCAAGAUCAGAGAGACGGGUUUUAAUUGUUUUCCUUGUUUUUUACUCUUUUGAGUCGUAAUUGGAAAUUUGGAUUUAGGGUUUAGGUUCAUUCUAAUACAACCAUGUGAACAGUUAGAUAUGGUUACAAUGGCUUUAAGACUGAUUCGUAAGUACAUAGCAAAAUUAGGAAGAAGGAUGUGUGUGUGUAUUUGUGUUGAUAAUGUGUAGUGAGAAAUCAGAAAUAGAAAAAAAUUGGCUUUUAGUUUUGCAUCUGUGUUUUUUUGCAAGUUUUACUCAUUACUCAAACAAAUAUAGAAACUAAUGCAGGAAUCAAGACGUUGAUAGCAUUGUCACUCUCUCACUGAUCCGCUACUUGACCAUUGACUCUGAAGGAGGUAAUUUGCUUUCAACUCUCUUAUGUCUUUUUCAUUCUUGAUAGUUUGCUUGUUAUCAGAAAAAUCUCGACUUGUCAGAAAUAGAUGUUAGGAAUGGUUGAAAAAGAUGGUAAAGUUGAAGUUGACUGCUCUUAUGAAAAGUUAAUGACAUAGUUUGAAGACAUGUCUGAUAAAUCUUGAGUGAAGCUAAUGUUACUAAUACCUGAAAGGCUGAAAACUUUGUUUAUUCAGAACUUCUUGUGUUACAUUUCCGUUAUGAACACUUUUACGUGGUUCUUCAGGCAUAUCUAGCUAGACAUGGGUAUCACUGUAUCAGAGUGGUGUAAAAUAUCUUCAUAAAGAUAUUUUACAACCUCAUAAACGUAGCUGUUCCCACGAGAAAUUUGAAAAGAACAAUCAUAAAGAGUAGCCUGUAGGAAUAACUAGAAAUGUGAGCAGCAUAGGAACUUGGGCAGACGACUCUUACUGCCUUCGUGAUCCUGUUCGUAACUCGGCAUCUCAGUUUCUUGGAAACAGGCAAUAUCCGGCCUCGAUGGUACCUGAAAGAGAAGGAAGGUGAUGUAUAGACUAAAUAAACCAUAGUAGAGAGAUGGGUCGAGACCAGAAUAUUCACCUCUUUGUUUAGUCUCCCUUUAAAAUGUUCUAAAGCAUCAGCGUCAAGAGAAUCACAACCCUCUGUAUCGAGAAACUGAAGGCUCUGUGGAAGUUCUUCUAGUGAUUUGAGUUUCUUGCAGUUAUUGAGGCAGAUAGUUACCAAUGAUGGAAAAUCUCUGAUGCUUGAUGGCAGUGUCUUAAAGUCAUGGCUGCUCAGAUCUAAAAAUGUCAACUUCGGGAAGUGACUAAGCUGAUCUGAUAACGACUUCACAUUCUUGCAGUUGUCAAGGCAAAGCUCAAGCAAACAGUAUAUGCCCGGAUCUUGACUUGCAUCAUAGGGUUUCACCAAUGAUCUGAGGCUCCUACAGUUGGAAAGAGUGAGUGACUGCACCUGAGUUAGCUCUGGCAAUUCCUUGAGUUUGCUACAGUUUCGAAGACAGAGAGUUUUCAACCGGGAAAGUCUAUUCAUGUCUUCUGGUAAGCUCUCAAAAUCAUUUCCGCUGAAGUCCAGUUUCUCUAAGAAUUCAAAGUGGCCAAUCGCAUCUGACAGCUUUUGGAUAUUUAAGUUGACUAGUUGUAGCUCUUCUAAGCCAGGUAUAUGUGGAAAACUCUGAAAGGUCACAGGUCGACUGUUCUCUUUGUAGCUGAACCUCCGGAUAUUGAGUGAAGUAGAAUUGUUGAGAUCGGAGAUGAUCCGAGGAGCUUGGUGGACACUUACUGUCUUUGUGCCAUGGAUCUUUUGCUCAGAUCUAAAGGAGAAGUAUUCAGCAAAUCCUUCACAAUCUGCAAAAACACAAAAUUUUAUGUCUCCCGUGAUCAAUAUAUUCUUUAGUUGCAUUUCCACUCUUGCAGUUGGGAACUCCAGUGUAAUAUGUUGCGUCUGAGUCACAUUCCCUAUUACAACACCCAGGGGACUCCUAGGCCCGCCAUAGUAUGAUAGAUUAAGGCUGCUUAGGCUAGACUUUUCUCCAAUUGACUCUGGAAUUCCUUUUAGUCUCUUGCAUUGUUCUAUCAUCAACUCGUCAAGCAUCUCGGAACAUGAAAGGUCUGGAAGUUGUUUGAGAUUCUUAGAUCCCGUCACAUCUAGUUUCUUCAAAUUACUGAACUUCUGAAGAACGUACAACAAAGAAUAGUUGGAUUUUGCACAUUUCAUAGCAAAAACAGUAAUACAUGGUCAAAAUCAUAGGCAAGGUUACCAGUACUCCACUCCAUAGUGUUUCGAGGUUGCUGUGACGCAGAAUGAGUUCCACAAGACCAUAUUUAUUAAACAUGAGUGGCAAUGUGCGCAAUGGAAAUGCAUCCCAGUGGAGUAGGGUACAAUUCAUGGAAGGGUAAACAUCGUCAGGAAUCACCUGCAGUCUCGAUUCUCUGUCGUCAACAUGCUUGUAGACCUUGACAAAUCUAAGUUUAUACAUUUUGCCAAAUACACCGGUCUCCAUCGAAAAUGGACAUUUCAUUUCACAUGUGUGUAGGGAGAUACUUUCAGUCUGGCCUAUUCCCUGGUGAUAGAAACUAUUUAAGUGAGCUGGCGUAAACAGAAACAUAAAUACAUUAAGAGAUUAAGUUGCAGGAUGCCAAGACGAUAUAUCAAAGAUUAAGUAGAUACGUACUUCUCGGUAAUCUAGUGCAUCAUGAAUUUUCUCAGGAUCCCCGAUGAAUUUUCCACUGUCAAGCAUAAUUUCCCUUCCCAUUUGUUCAACCAGCUUAUGCAGGAUUACAAAUCCAUUACUUGUUAUAUUUAUGAGUGAUUUCUCUGCUAAAACUCUCAUCCACAAGUUACUUUCACGUCUGCUAAGAACAAGUAGUGAAGUGACACGCCUGUAAGUGUCUCCAUUAAAGAGACAUGCAACAUGAAGAAAAGCAUUCUGAUGUGGUUUUGCUAAUCCCUCGUAGCUAAUUUUUAAGAUUUCCAUUAUAUUCUCGUCAGGAGUACUUUCAAGUCCACAUACUGCUUCUUCCCAUUCCUCAGGAGAGUUGGCCCUUCCACGGAGAAAUAAGGCAUAAGCUUGAAUUGCAGAAGGAAGCCCAUGGGCAAGCUGAGCUGCUCGGAUUGAGAGAUCAUCAAAUUCAGCAGAAGGACUGCCUCCUUCGAAAGCUAUCUUUUUAAACAUCUGCAGGGAAUCCAUAUCGUCCAAACACUGAACCCCAUAGAUGGCUUUUACUCCACAGCAAUUGAGCAUGCCCCUGUCUCGGGUGGUUAUGAUUAUUCGGCUACCACAACCAAACCAUCUUGUCUCUUUUGCCAGAGCAUGGAUCUGCACCAAAUUAUCCACACCAUCAAGCACAAGAAGAACCUUGUGGUUCCCAAGUCUUGUUGCUAUGACCUCACGUCCAGCUUCCACGCUCCACGGCGUUAUAUCAUCACCAAGGGUAUUGUAGAGAAGUUUGUUUUGCAAAUGCAGUAGAUCAAGGUCUUUAUAAAUACCCUUAAUGUCUUCUGUGAAAUACCUGGUUGUAAAAUGAGAUGAGAGCUGGUCAUAGAGACACUUGGCGAUGGCUGUUUUGCCAAUGCCUCCCAUUCCCCAGAUUCCAAUCAUACGAACCUCAUCAUUAUUGGAGUCCAUGUCCAAGAGAGACUUGAGACCUUCCAUGUGAGUAUCCACCCCAACAAUAUUUCUGAAGUCUAUCUUAUGCAUCAUCGCCUUGCGCCUUGAAAUAUCUUCGACAAUUUUCCGAACCAUAGUUGCCUCAUCAAUGCUGAACUCGGAAAAAAACACAAGUAUAAUGAACAUUUUCCAAAGCUGGUUAUGCAUAAUAAAAUUCAGGUUCCUGUGAGGAAAAAAACAUACCACUGUCCAGAUGCCACACCAGAUAGGUCAGCUAUCAUUUUUAGAGAUUCUCUCCACUUGGGAACCUUAUCUGCCAUUUGUGGAUCACGUUCGUACCCUUCUAGAUCGAAACUUCCUUGCUGAUGUCUCACGGCAGAGGGAUCUACUCUAUAGAAGACUGGAAAGACACCAAUUCUUCCCUCCACCUGAAGCUUCAUUAUCAUUUGGAGCUCCAUUAAGCACCACCUGGAAGAAGGGUAGUUCUCUGAGAGAACCACGACAACAAAAUCUGAACCUUCAAUGGCUCUGUGGAGUUCUUCAGAAAUGUGAUCGCCUAACUCAAGCCUUUUGUCGUCUUUGAAGGUAACAAUUCCUCUACUAGCAAGUGCUGCGUACAAAUGGCUCACGAUAGAAUGUCGAGUGUCUUCACCACGGAAACUGAGGA
RNAcentral lists this long non-coding RNA (4537 nucleotides) under Capsella grandiflora. RNAcentral describes it as "long non-coding RNA (CGRA_LNC001287)". The record is from RNAcentral. Lineage: Eukaryota; Viridiplantae; Streptophyta; Magnoliopsida; Brassicales; Brassicaceae.